AUUAUAUUCUGGUAUGGAGGGGGCAUUAUAUUCUGGUAUGGAGGGGGGCAUUAUAUUCUGGUAUGGAGGGAGCAUUAUAUUCUGGUAUGGAGGGGACCAUUAUAUUCUGGUAUGGAGGGGGUAUUAUAUUCUGGUAUGAGGGGGGAAUUAUAUUCUGGUAUGGAGGGGAGCAUUAUAUUCUGGUAUGGAGGUGGUAUUAUAUUCUGGUAUGGAGGGGGCAUUAUAUUCUGGUAUGGAGGGGGCAUUAUAUUCUGGUAUGGAGGGGGCAUUAUAUUCCGGUAUGGAGGGGGGUAUUAUAUUCCGGUAUGGAGGGGGCAUUAUAUUCUGGUAUGGAGGGGGCAUUAUAUUCUGGUAUGGAGGUUGUAUUAUAUUCUGGUAUGGAGAGGGUAUUAUAUUCUGGUAGGGAGGGGGCAUUAUAUUCUGGUAUGGAGGGGGCAUUAUAUUCUGGUAGGGAGGGGGCAUUAUAUUCUGGUAUGGAGGGGGCAUUAUAUUCUGGUAUGGAGGGGGCAUUAUAUUCUGGUAUGGAUGGGGCAUUAUAUUCUGGUAUGGGGGGGGGGCAUUAUAUUCUGGUAUGGAGGGAGCUG
Molecule: long non-coding RNA, 584 nt
Filed under: Salmo salar (Atlantic salmon)
Lineage: Eukaryota; Metazoa; Chordata; Actinopteri; Salmoniformes; Salmonidae
Description: lncRNA (ENSSSAG00000087458.1)
Source: RNAcentral